This 912-nucleotide unclassified non-coding RNA is filed under the name Hevea brasiliensis (rubber tree). The record is from RNAcentral. Lineage: Eukaryota; Viridiplantae; Streptophyta; Magnoliopsida; Malpighiales; Euphorbiaceae.
GGCUUUUCUUGUUUCUGAACGAGUUGAAGUCUCAACCAAAAGCCCCAAGUCUGACAAGCAAUAUGUCUGGGUCGGAGAGGCCAAUUCUAGCACAUAUACCAUUCGAGAGGAGACUGAUCCUGCAAAACAACUUCCUAGGGGAACCCGUCUCACUCUAUAUCUUAAGAGGGAUGACAAAGGAUAUGCACAUCCGGAAAGAGUAGAAAAGCUUGUGAAAAACUAUUCACAGUUUGUUUCAUUCCCUAUUUACACAUGGCAAGAGAAGGGAUUUACAAAAGAGGUUGAAGUUGAUGAAGAUCCAUCAGAAGCCAAGAAGGAAGGAGAAGAUGAGACAGCUGAGAAAAAGAAGAAAACUAAAAAAGUUGUGGAGAAAUAUUGGGACUGGGAGCUUACAAAUGAGACUCAGCCAAUUUGGCUUCGAAGCCCUAAGGAAGUGAGUAAAGAGGAUUAUAAUGAGUUCUACAAAAAGACUUUUAAUGAAUAUCUGGAGCCUCUUGCUUCUUCACACUUCACAACCGAGGGAGAAGUAGAGUUCCGGUCUGUACUUUUUGUGCCAUCUGUAUCUGGAAUGGGUAAGGAUGACAUGAUAAAUCCCAAGACAAAGAAUAUAAGGCUAUAUGUGAAGCGAGUUUUUAUAUCUGACGACUUUGAUGGUGAACUGUUCCCACGCUACCUAAGUUUUAUCAAAGGUGUAGUUGACUCAAAUGAUCUUCCCCUUAAUGUAUCACGAGAGAUUCUUCAAGAAAGUCGCAUUGUUCGCAUCAUGAGGAAGCGGUUGGUGCGGAAAGCGUUUGAAAUGAUUCAGGGCAUUGCUCUCAGUGAAAACAGAGAUGACUACGAGAAGUUCUGGGAGAACUUUGGGAAGCACCUAAAGUUGGGAUGCAUUGAAGAUCGUGAAAACCACAAGCGUAU